UUUUUGGAGAGUUUGAUCCUGGCUCAGGACGAACGCUGGCGGCGUGCUUAACACAUGCAAGUCGAACGAAAAUACCAAGCUUGCUUGGUUGAUUAGUGGCGAACGGGUGAGUAACACGUGAGUAACCUGCCCCUUACUUUCCUGGAUAACUGCUCGAAAGGGUAGCUAAUACGGGAUAUUCUGGCCUUCCUGCAUGGGUUGUUUGGAAAGGUUGUUUUUCUGGUAAGGGAUGGGCUCGCGGCCUAUCAGCUUGUUGGUGGGGUGAUGGCCUACCAAGGCUUUGACGGGUAGCCGGCCUGAGAGGGUGGACGGUCACACUGGGACUGAGAUACGGCCCAGACUCCUACGGGAGG
This 353-nucleotide non-coding RNA is filed under the name Actinomyces graevenitzii C83. RNAcentral's name for it is "Bacterial small subunit ribosomal RNA". It matches the Rfam family "Bacterial small subunit ribosomal RNA", at positions 1 to 348 of the family's 1533-position model. Lineage: Bacteria; Bacillati; Actinomycetota; Actinomycetes; Actinomycetales; Actinomycetaceae. The record is from Rfam by way of RNAcentral.